CAGCAGCCGCGGUAACACGAAGGGGGCUAGCGUUGCUCGGAAUUACUGGGCGUAAAGGGCGCGUAGGCGGACAAUUAAGUCGGGGGUGAAAGCCCGGGGCUCAACCUCGGAAUUGCCUUCGAUACUGGCUGUCUUGAGUGUGAGAGAGGUGUGUGGAACUCCGAGUGUAGAGGUGAAAUUCGUAGAUAUUCGGAAGAACACCAGUGGCGAAGGCGACACACUGGCUCACUACUGACGCUGAGGCGCGAAAGCGUGGGGAGCAAACAGGAUUAGAUACCCCCGUAGUCCCUGUCCUUAUACA
This 301-nucleotide ribosomal RNA is filed under the name uncultured bacterium. RNAcentral describes it as "partial 16S ribosomal RNA". It matches the Rfam family "Bacterial small subunit ribosomal RNA", at positions 509 to 809 of the family's 1533-position model. The record is from RNAcentral.